Long non-coding RNA from Equus quagga, 5779 nucleotides. RefSeq lists it as uncharacterized. The record is from RefSeq and is a predicted model, not a curated record. Lineage: Eukaryota; Metazoa; Chordata; Mammalia; Perissodactyla; Equidae. The transcript is spliced from 3 exons.
AAUUUAAUACGUCCGUAUUGGAGAUCAUAAAAAUAAUGCUGUCCGAGAUGGGCUAAGCAGGCUGCUUUUAUAUCUUUUUACACAAAGAAACGAUAGAUUUGUGAGGAAUUGACAGGACAAAGAAACUCAGCUUUGGGAAAUGUAAUUAGUGAGGAAUUUAGGCAGAGUUUAGGCUUGAGGUAUUAAAUUAGUAAAAGUAACAAGUUUGUUUAUGCAGGCUUCUCAGCCCUGAAUUCCCCAGCUCUGGUGGGGAGGACGUCUCUCUAGCUCCUGCUGUGGGGAGGGGACCCUUCACCGGGAGAUUUAUUUCCUGCUCUCAGGGCGAACAGAGAGAGGAGGGGAAAUGCAAUUUUUGUCUUGGCUGCUUCUCAAGUAACUUUAAAAUAAUCAAUAUGGCAUUAUGGGAUAUUUUGGGGCGGCCUGUGCUGAGCCCCAGCAGUACAUAUGUGUGUGUAUACACGCGUGUGUGUAUGCAUUCAUACCCAUGUGCGAACCCCCUACAUGCUACUCUGUUAUAUGGUAUCUCACUAGUACCCUAGCAGGGCAUCUGUCCAUGUUGAUACAAAUGGUUCUCAAUCGGGUUCCCCCAGAAGUGGGCCCUGAGACAAGGAUUUGGGUGAAAGUUGCUUUGGGAGUGAUCCCAGAUGGCCCCACGACAUACGGGUGGGGGAUGGAGGAAGUGAGACAGGGAAGGAAAAGAAAGCAAGACCGAGAACACUAAUGAGCAGGUCACCAAUUUGGGGCAACUGAGGCCCAGGCCCAGAGGGAGACCCGUAGCACAUGCCUUGCUGCUGGCCCCUAGAGGGAUGGGAUGUUCCCAUAUUUAUCCUCAGGUGUGAAAGCUGUUGGGACUGUCGCCUGCCCAGCACAGCCAGCCUGCCCUGCCUGUGGGGCUGAGCAGAAACCCAACAGGCCACUGGGGCCUUUAGUAGGACACGGCGGGCCAUGUCCUGGAAGGUGCGUUCCAGGGCACCAACAUUACCUACAGUUACCUAGUUCUUUUUACCAGUUGCGUAAUAUUCCAGUUGUAGCUGUGCUAUAACUCACUGCAUGAGGCUCCUGUGGGUGACAGUGUAGGUGGGGAGUAUUCCCAUUUUGAGCACACACGUGCAAACUCUUCUCAUCUGUGUGGUCAUCUCCUUGGAUUAAUCCCCUCAUUUCUUCCUCUGCCUUCAGGGACGGCCCUGCCCGGUGGCACCAGGGCCUCCUGCCCCAUCCACGAGCUCCUUGGCUCUCUCUUGUCUACUCCCAAUUCUUCACUCACGCGUAGAAUUUUCACGCGCCUAUCCCACAAAGUUCCUGUGACUUAGAAUUUUAAGGUUGAAUUUAUUUUCUUGCACAAGGAAUACUUUGCCCUUGGCAAAGAUUCCAAAGGUACAAAGGGCAUAUGGGAAAAAGCACGCCUCCUGGCCUCUGGGCCCCCCAGCUCCCGACUCUGGAGAGAGACACUCCUGCCAGUUUCUUGUGUAGCCUGCCAGAGAUGUCCCACGUGCUGACAAACAUACUUUUCUGCAUUUUUUCCAGUGAAAUGGGAAUCUUCAGAUGUAGGGACACGAGGCCCACGGCAGGGGGUGGGGAAGGAGAUGAAGAGUUCUUUCUGAAGUCAUCAUCUCUCCCCUGAGCUGGGUCCCCUUGCAACCUGACCAGGACUGCGUGCCGCCACCCGCCCCUCCGCCUCCUCCUGCGCUUCCUUGAGCCAACUGGUCACGAGUUCUGCCAUUUUCCCUCCCCAGCCUCGCUUGGGUUGUUCCUCCUGGAUCUGCGUCCUCCACCACUGCAGUGGUCAGCUGAUGCCUGGAUCCCUCCAAAAGCCUCCGGGCCAGUCCCCUGCCUCCGUGCCCUCCACUCCAGAUGCGGCCAGGGCUGCAGACGCACUCGGAAUCUCUCUGAGUCUUUCUGUGUGUCCCCUGGGAGGGAGGCUGAGCUCCUUGCAAACAAGGACAAUGUGGUCAUAGCUUCUGGGUGUUGCACAAAGUCUGACCCAGUGCCCCAUACGGGACAAGGUGACAACCAGUUUCCUGACCUGGUUGGGGGAGCACAGCCAGCACAGUAUGUCCUCACGGACUACAGCACGCACUCACCCAGGCCCUGCAGCCCGUCGGCCGGGGUUUGCAUCUCGGCUCUGCCCCUUUAAGCUGUGUGACCUUGGACCAAGUUGCUUAACCUGCCUCUGCCUCAGUUUCUUCAUCUGCAAAACGGCACAACGAUAAUAGAGAAAGGCAGCUCCCUGGGGGCCAGGAGAAAGACGUUUGCCCAGACGACCACCUGGCAUGUAAUCGAGGGACUGGCAAAGCAUCCUGAGAGCCCAGGGAAGGGGCACUCCGCUCUUCCGGAUGCACAGGCUAAUGGCAGAUGGAUUUUUAGUCCAAUUCAAACCUUCCCGGGAGAGAGAAGGCCCCGAGCCUUGGCGAUUCCUUUCGUGAAGCCGAGCUCCAGCAGAUGGAGGCGGGGCCCGGGGUCUCAGAAGGAGAGACCGUCAGAGAUCCACCUGGCUUCCAAACGCAGCCUCAGCCUGGCCCUUGGGGACGAUAUGUCCUUUUGGGUUCCUUCAGCGAUCUGGAAGGUUUUCUUCAGGAAAACAUUCCUCAUUGGGUGAAAUCAGUUUCAAUUUCAAGGUAUGGGUUUGACCAUUAGAUCGAGUCUUCCUUUAAAGGGGCAGGCAAACGACGAGUUUCUGUUUGUAUGCAUUGAAUCAUCCUGGGAGAAGAGACUUUUCUGGAAGGCAAGAAACUGUCAGCGUGCCAUAGAGCUACACGUAUUAACAAUUAGCCACCGACAUGACAAGGACGAUGACAUUUACUCCUACAUACCCACCAGUGCAAGGCAAGCUGGGGACCACUGGUGGCCCCACUUGACAGCACCAACUUGCUCCGGGCACAGGGGGCGUGAGCGGUGGGGAUGGGGUUCAGCUUUGCCAGGCUGACAGACUCUGCUUCGAGUGAUUCAGAAGUCCCCUCAGUUCCUUAUUUAUCCAAACCCGCAGCCCCGAGGAGCCCUCUGGUUAAGACCUUUGGUUAAGAGGGGAGGCUGCAGCCGAGCGGCUCCCCCCAGCAUCCCACCUGUUCUGGGGUUGUAACUACAAGUUGGACAGGGUCCCCCACUCCGCACCAGGUUUUCCAUGAGCUAGAGGAAACCUUCCUGGGUUAAGCCCCUGAGAGUCUGGGGUUUAUCUGUUACGUAGCAUCGUGCGGUCUGCCCUGACGAACACACCAGAUGAUUCUGAAGUGCCGCCACGGUUGGGACUUGCUGUGCCUCUCUGUGAUUUCGUCUCUUCAUGUGUAAAAUGUGGGUAAAAUCACCGUAUCUGGGUCACAGGGCUGUGGGGUGUGAGAUGGGUUGGCCUUUGUCACACACCUGGCUGGGCGGCCUGCACAUGGUACCGGCUCCACCAAUGUUACCAUGGCAACAUCCUGGCCCCAACAGCACACCUGGGCCUUCCCAGCCCUGGGCUUCCGGCCCCUGGGCCAGGAGACCAGAGGCUCCAGGGCAGCCCCAUGCAGUGUAAUUUUACUUUCAAAUGGUUCCUCGAUGGAGUGAUCUUUGUCCUCAGAGAUCAUUCUCAGAGACAAUCUCAUAAAGGCUCUGCCAGCCCUGAACUUUCAUUGGGAGCGUGGCUGUAGGCUAAGACCCUCACCUUGCAGUUCUGUUAUGCACGUCAAGGCCUGGAAUGGUUGGCGCGGGUUCCCGAGGGGAAUGUCUGUGUGUCCUGGUAGCCAUGGACAGGAAGGAAGAAAGAAGAAAGCCAGACGGCCUCUCCUGGGGCGUUAGGUGAGCUGGGUUUCUGCAUCUCCUCCGUCUCUGCUGCCUUGUUUGUGCACGAAGUGGGUGAAAGGUCUCCUGGCUCUCUAGGUGUGCUGCUCUAUGUCCCAGAGCCACUGUGCGGUGGCGCCUGCCUUGGCGGAAGUGGCCCCAGGGUGUGGGACACUGGGAGGAAAUGCCUCGCACAGCUGCUGUUCUGACCGCUGAGCUCCGCCUUCGGGAACGAGGACAGCCCCUUCUGUGAUCUCUUUAGACAAGGCAGAGCCCCGCCUGCCCAGAGGACAACAAUUUCCACGUUUAGUGCUUCCAGAGCAGUCUUAUGUGGUUCCAGCAGACACGAGGGACUCAGCUCUUCCACAAAGCGCUGGGCCAUCAGCCUCACCAGAUACCACUGGGCAGCCUCCACCGAUGGCCCCCAACCCCCGAAUGUGGCCUGGGACCCCCCCACCAGUGUCUGCACUUCAUGGAAGGAGCCACUCCAGCCCUCCACACGGCAGCAACCCUGUUCACCCGCAGUGAGGGGUUCGGGGUUCUGAGGGAGACCCGCACCCAUCCAGUGUGCUAACUGCAGGACUGCCGCGGGCCAGUUGUGGCCACGGACGCUGGGUGUGCCUUAGCGAGCCAACAGAUGUACGCCCCUCCUCCUCCAGGUGGGGGAAACCCGGACCAAUAAACACGCAUGUGCUGACACAAGGAAGAAGUCAGGGAGCGGGCAGGGUCCUGAGGGAGGGACCUCCUGAGAUGCGAGGGCUGGGCAGCCCCAUCUGAGCUAGGACAUGCGUCAAGAGCUGUCAGGCACGCUGGUUAGUGACGGAGGUGACGGUCAGAGUCAAAGUCCCCGUGCCUAACCCCUGGCUGUCCUGUGUCCUGCGCUGUCCCCUUUCACACCCUCCUUAUAUGCCUUCCCCCUACUGCCAUCUCUGGUACACGCAGGCUUGGCUGGGAGGUUUUGGGGUGGCAGCAGCCUCGGGCCCAGCCUGGCCCAGAGAGGGUGAGCCAAGCUCUGCAGUCCAGGGGAGCAAGCCGGGGGGAAGAUGGAGGGGAAAUGCUCGGGGAGGAUAGCCACAGAGCCUCGGGAGCAGGGUGGGCCAAGGUGGGCGCGGACCAGGUGGUGGCUGGGUCAAUGGGAGGCCAGGCAAGAAGGAGCCUGGAGGCCCCUGGGUGAAGGCCACGCUGCUCACUGAGCAGCCAAGCGUUCCUGCAGAAAAGGGAACAGAGAAUCCUGGCCCGGGCGCACCCAGCCGGCAGCCGGCAUGAGAGACAGCGGGGGGUGGUGUGGGCCAGAGCCUCCUCCCCACCCCGAGCUGACCCGCAGCGUGGCUGUGACCUCUCGCCCAGAACAGCUGCGUCAGGAAGAACCUGCCAGGGAACAAGCACCCUCUACAGAGAGUUACCUGGAUCUGUUUUCUGCCUUUUUUUAAAGUCAAGUGACAUCGUUAACGUAGUCCAGUUUUUUUUCUAUUUUUUUUAUCAUGGUAAAAUAUACACAUAACAAUUUACCACCUCAACCAUUUUUAAGUGACAAUUCAGCGGCAUUGAGGACAUUUACAAUGUUGUGCAACCAUCCCCACCAUCUACUUCCAGACUUUCUCAUGACCUCAAACAGCAACCCCGUACCCAUUAAGCAAGAACUUCGUGUUCCCGGGCUCCCAGCCUCCGGUAAGCUUUCAUGCUUGUGUCUAUGAAUUUGCCAAUUGUAGGUAUUUCGUAGCAGUGGAAUCAGACGGUAUUUGUCCUUUUGUGUCUGGCUCCUGUUACUUACCAGAGUGUGUUCAAGGUGCACCUGUCUCGCGGUGAACACGACAUGUGGCCAUGCUUCAUUCCUUCUCGCUGAAUGACGUGCCAUCAUGUGGUCAGGGUACAUUUAUUUAUUCGUCCACCUCUUGAUGGACACUCAGUACUUUCUGCCUUUGGCUAUUGUGAACCAAGCCUAGUCCGUUUUUUUUUUUUUUUUUGAGGAAGAUUAGCCCUGAGCUAACAUCUGCUGCCAAUCCUCCCCUUUUUGCUGAGGAGGACUGGC